Molecule: long non-coding RNA, 420 nt
Filed under: Chinchilla lanigera (long-tailed chinchilla)
Lineage: Eukaryota; Metazoa; Chordata; Mammalia; Rodentia; Chinchillidae
Description: lncRNA (ENSCLAG00000027241.1)
Source: RNAcentral
UUAUUUUAUUUUAUUUUUUUCCGGUACCCAGAAUCAAACUCACGAUGUGGCGCUUGCCAGGCAGGCGCUGUGCCGCUGAGCUAAAUCCCCAGCCCCUCUGCAUACAUUUUAUAAGAUUGUUGUAAUGUUGCAAGAAGAUGUAUUGUGAAUUGAAAUAUGUUUUUUCAAAUUGUUUGGAAGUUUGGUAUUUGUGUCACAGUGUGCGAACAGUUCACAGUGCUAAAAUGAUGAGUAAGAAACAAAGGCAUGGCUUCUAAGAACUGCAUGCAUGUUUGAAAAUUCCAUUUGACUGGCUUUUCUCCAAGGUAUAACGGCUGGAAAGGUCAAUAUUUUUGCCUUAAAUAGAACAUUGACCAAUUUAAUUGGCCACAGAAAAUUAAAAGAGGUGUCAAAUAUUUUUGAAGCAUCUUGACAUAACAC